RNAcentral lists this ribosomal RNA (500 nucleotides) under Vibrio orientalis. Its description in RNAcentral is "bacterial SSU rRNA". It matches the Rfam family "Bacterial small subunit ribosomal RNA", at positions 102 to 598 of the family's 1533-position model. The record is from RNAcentral. Lineage: Bacteria; Pseudomonadati; Pseudomonadota; Gammaproteobacteria; Vibrionales; Vibrionaceae.
ACGGGUGAGUAAUGCCUGGGAAAUUGCCCUGAUGUGGGGGAUAACCAUUGGAAACGAUGGCUAAUACCGCAUAAUAGCUUCGGCUCAAAGAGGGGGACCUUCGGGCCUCUCGCGUCAGGAUAUGCCCAGGUGGGAUUAGCUAGUUGGUGAGGUAAGGGCUCACCAAGGCGACGAUCCCUAGCUGGUCUGAGAGGAUGAUCAGCCACACUGGAACUGAGACACGGUCCAGACUCCUACGGGAGGCAGCAGUGGGGAAUAUUGCACAAUGGGCGCAAGCCUGAUGCAGCCAUGCCGCGUGUAUGAAGAAGGCCUUCGGGUUGUAAAGUACUUUCAGCAGUGAGGAAGGUGGAGUCGUUAAUAGCGGCCUCAUUUGACGUUAGCUGCAGAAGAAGCACCGGCUAACUCCGUGCCAGCAGCCGCGGUAAUACGGAGGGUGCGAGCGUUAAUCGGAAUUACUGGGCGUAAAGCGCAUGCAGGUGGUUUGUUAAGUCAGAUGUGAA